Molecule: ribosomal RNA, 392 nt
Filed under: uncultured Lysobacterales bacterium
Lineage: Bacteria; Pseudomonadati; Pseudomonadota; Gammaproteobacteria; Lysobacterales
Description: bacterial SSU rRNA
Rfam family: Bacterial small subunit ribosomal RNA
Source: RNAcentral
AUUGAACGCUGGCGGUAUGCUUAACACAUGCAAGUCGAACGGUAACAUAAGAGAGCUUGCUCUCUUGAUGACGAGUGGCGGACGGGUGAGUAAUAUAUAGGAACCUUCCUCAUAGUUUAGGAUAAGCACUCGAAAGAGUGUCUAAUACUGGAUGUGAACUACGGUUUAAAGCAGGGGAUCUUCGGACCUUGUGCUAUGAGAUGGGCCUAUACAAGAUUAGCUAGUUGGUGAGGGUAAGGGGCUCACCAAGGCGACGAUCUUUAGCUGGGUUUGAGAGGAUGAUCAGCCACACUGGGGACUGAGACACGGGCCCAGACUCCUACGGGGAGGCAGGCAGUAGGGGGAAUCUUCGGCAAAUGGGACGAAAGUCUGACCGAGCAACGCCCGCGUGA